GGUAUAAACUCCGACAGCAGCCGUCACCGGGGACAGAUGAGAGCAUCUCACAUUGGAAACUCCUUAAGGAGCUACAUCGGCCCCUCGUUCCUACCAGCUAUGAAGUUAUCUACUUCUUGUUUAUCUCAUCAAGGCUUUGACAUAUUGCCAUCAUGGAGGAAAGAAAUGAGCACUGUCUUUGAAAACGAAACAGAGAAGUCCAAGAUUUAUAGAAAGAAAACUGUAGCAUGGCAUGCAGAAUGUGCUGGAGAGAAGAGGGAUCCCCAUGGACAUGGGACCAGCUGGACUUUGAGGCCGUCUCCAGAGAGGGUCUGUAGGCUCCAUGUCACCUGUGCAGCUUCAUGGCAGGGGGCCUCUCAGGAGGCUGGUGGCUUACUGCCUUCGGGAGAUACAUCAGCUUCUGUCGGACACCAUGCCAGAAACAACAGGAGGUCAAAACCCCAGUAGAGCGGUGGACUUGUGCUGUAGCUCUCCUGGAGUAGGGAAGAACAGAUCUGACUCCAUAUUGCAUCUGUUUCUUUUAUUUUCACCUUUGGAUACCGUUGUUUCUGCUACAAUGAGUCACUGAAGGGAUGUGGCCUAUAAGCUUAAAUCAUACGUGACGGUCCACCUCAGGGAACCCUGCCUCCCCACCCGUGAAUGGCUACAGGAAGGAAGAAAUUAACGCCGCCCCCACCGCCUCCUACAGAGGCUGAUGGGAACCAGGAACGUUUGACUUUACUCCUUCCCCUUCGAGUAUAAAAGAAGCCUAAAUUCUAACUCGGGCAGAUAGUUUUUUGGGACAGGAGUCCACCAUUGUCUCUGCCAGCUUUCCAAGUCAAGCCACUGUUCCUUUGCCCCAGCAACUCUUGUCUUGAUUUAUCAGCCUGUCGUGCAGGGAGCAGUAGGAACUUGGACUUAGUAACACUCUGUCUAUCCAGGCACCUAUCCGAACAUGCAUCCAUCCAUCCUUCCAUUAUCUACCUUCCUCCAGAAAAAAGAGCAAUCUUGUAAAGACACAAAUAAUACUUUAAGAUAGCUAGGUAAAGUUAGUAAUAAGAAAAGGUAAAGUAAGUGUAGGAGGGUAAGCUGAAGCCAUGAGCGAGGCUGUCACACAUAAUACAUGCCUCUGUGUCCUAAGCACCUGCUAGGGAUAAGCCACAUCCUGGUUCUGAGCCUUCAAGCAGCCAAUGGGAAGGGAGAAACCCAAUAAUAUGAUCGUUCCCUUAACUCUUAAUAUCUGUAAGGUAAAAAUAAACCCGUUGCCAAGGAAAAGCA
This 1257-nucleotide long non-coding RNA is filed under the name Bos indicus x Bos taurus (hybrid cattle). Its description in RNAcentral is "lncRNA (ENSBIXG00005003829.1)". The record is from RNAcentral. Lineage: Eukaryota; Metazoa; Chordata; Mammalia; Artiodactyla; Bovidae.